RNAcentral lists this ribosomal RNA (398 nucleotides) under uncultured bacterium. RNAcentral describes it as "partial 16S ribosomal RNA". It matches the Rfam family "Bacterial small subunit ribosomal RNA", at positions 338 to 733 of the family's 1533-position model. The record is from RNAcentral.
CCUACGGGCGGCAGCAGUGAGGAAUAUUGGUCAAUGGACGCAAGUCUGAACCAGCCAUGCCGCGUGCAGGAUGACGGUUCCAAGAGUCGUAAACCGCUUUUGUACGAGGGUAAACUCCGAUACGUGUAUCCGGAUGAAAGUACCGUACGAAUAAGGAUCGGCUAACUCCGUGCCAGCAGCCGCGGUAAUACGGAGGAUCCGAGCGUUAUCCGGAUUUAUUGGGUUUAAAGGGUGCGCAGGCGGUCUGUUAAGUUAGAGGUGAAAUGCCGGGGCUCAACCCCGGAACGGCCGCUAACACUGUUAGUCUAGAGAUUGAGUGCGGUAGGCGGAAUGUGUGGUGUAGCGGUGAAAUGCUUAGAUAUCGUGCAGAACACCGAUUGCGAAGGCAGCAUGCCGGA